AGAUUGAACGCUGGCGGCAGGCCUAACACAUGCAAGUCGAGCGGCAGCACGGGUACUUGUACCUGGUGGCGAGCGGCGGACGGGUGAGUAAUGCCUAGGAAUCUGCCUGAUAGUGGGGGAUAACGCUCGGAAACGGACGCUAAUACCGCAUACGUCCUACGGGAGAAAGCAGGGGACCUUCGGGCCUUGCGCUAUCAGAUGAGCCUAGGUCGGAUUAGCUAGUUGGUGGGGUAAUGGCUCACCAAGGCGACGAUCCGUAACUGGUCUGAGAGGAUGAUCAGUCACACUGGAACUGAGACACGGUCCAGACUCCGUACGGGAGGCAGCGAGUGGGGAAUAGUUGGAACAAGUGGGACGAAAGCCUGAUCCAGCCAUGCCGCGUGUGUGAAGAAGUCGUUCGAUUGUAAAGCGUAACGUUUAAGUUGGAGGAGG
This 432-nucleotide ribosomal RNA is filed under the name uncultured soil bacterium. Its description in RNAcentral is "bacterial SSU rRNA". It matches the Rfam family "Bacterial small subunit ribosomal RNA", at positions 26 to 453 of the family's 1533-position model. The record is from RNAcentral.